RNAcentral lists this long non-coding RNA (679 nucleotides) under Citrus x clementina. RNAcentral describes it as "Citrus clementina (C. clementina) long non-coding RNA (CCLE_LNC005744)". The record is from RNAcentral. Lineage: Eukaryota; Viridiplantae; Streptophyta; Magnoliopsida; Sapindales; Rutaceae.
UUAGUGAUCAUCCUCGUCUUGCAUAGUAUAUAACAUCAAUGAUACGAAUACGGAAUGGCCUCGUGACAGAACUUCAAUUUCAACUUCAACUUCAAAGCUUAGGGAUUUGUUUACAUAACCCAUCAAUAUAUAUUAUUAUUAGCCAAAACAUAAAUAUGUUUGUCGGCAAAAGUAUAUCAGUUACAGAUCACGGGGGAAAAAUCAUGGGAUUUGAUUUCGAUAAAUCACCUGAUUUUAUUUGAUCUCAUGUCAGUCCAUGAUUUGGUUCAUGCAGAAGUAAAGGACAAUAUGCUGAUUAGUUCGGUGAGAAAAUUCGAUCGAAGUAAGAGCACCAAAUUGAAUUUUCCAAACAAAAAACCUAUCCACAUGCUGACAUGCAUGCAAUUUAUGAAAAAAUUCAGUAAUAGUUGUUUAAUUAUGCAAAUUCAUAUGAUUUUAACUCGUGCCUUUUAGAAAAAAAAAAAAGUUGUUUCUAUCAUUACAAUUCAAAAGCGGACACUUACAUGUCUUCAAAUGUAUAAACUUCUGCCACCCGCCGUCACGUAAGAAGCGACACGAGAGUGAGGACAUGCAAGCAGUGCUAAAGAAAUCUUCUAUCCGCAACCUUUUCCUUUUCACGGUUGGUUGUAUGGGAUAAGAAUAAAUAAUAAGGUUGAUGGAAACAAAUUAAUCAAUUAAA